GGGUUGUGAGGUUAAGCGACUAAGCGUACACGGUGGAUGCCCUGGCAGUCAGAGGCGAUGAAGGACGUGCUAAUCUGCGAAAAGCGUCGGUAAGGUGAUAUGAACCGUUAUAACCGGCGAUGUCCGAAUGGGGAAACCCAGUGCAAUUCGUUGCACUAUCGUUAACUGAAUACAUAGGUUAACGAGGCGAACCGGGGGAACUGAAACAUCUAAGUACCCCGAGGAAAAGAAAUCAACCGAGAUUCCCCCAGUAGCGGCGAGCGAACGGGGAGCAGCCCAGAGUCUGAAUCAGCUUGUGUGUUAGUGGAACGGUCUGGAAAGUCCGACGGUACAGGGUGAUAGUCCCGUACACCAAAAUGCACAGGUUGUGAACUCGAAGAGUAGGGCGGGACACGUGGUAUCCUGUCUGAAUAUGGGGGGA
This 421-nucleotide ribosomal RNA is filed under the name Klebsiella pneumoniae. RNAcentral's name for it is "partial 23S ribosomal RNA". It matches the Rfam family "Bacterial large subunit ribosomal RNA", at positions 1 to 452 of the family's 2925-position model. Lineage: Bacteria; Pseudomonadati; Pseudomonadota; Gammaproteobacteria; Enterobacterales; Enterobacteriaceae. The record is from RNAcentral.